AGCUUGUUGAAGCAGAGCCUGGAGCACAGAGAACCAGCCCAUCCCUCUUGCCCCUUUACUCAACACUUACAUGCUCUCGUGGGCCCCAAGGGACUGGCAGUCUCCUGGGACAUUCUGGACACAGUGCAAAGACGGUUGAGCCACAUCCCUGAACCCAGCCUGGUUCCCCUACGUAUCUGGAGAAGAAGGGUCUACCUCCUAAUGCCUGCCAUGUCACCUAAGAAUUCAGAACAUACCUCAAAAAAACAGAAGGAAACCCUGUUGGGUGUGUCCACCAUGCCACGCACUGUCUACAGCACUUGAUGUGGGUCAUCUCCUUGAGCCUCACAUUAUAAGGAUCAUUCACCACCGUGUGUGCUUCUGGGAAGAAGGAGAAAGCAGAGAGAAGACAUUGGUCCACCAGAUGCUAAGCUAGUUCUGUCUUUUCCAGUGGUGCGCAGGAAGAAGGCACAGCGCUUUCUCCCUACCACAUACUCACCAAGAAGCUCACAUUGUUGGAAAGGAGUCCUUCAUGCUCAUCUUAACUUGCAUACAUUCUGGCAUGUGUCCUCAGCAAAGAAGAAGAGAGAUACAACUGCCCCUCAUUGGACUCAUAAAGCUGCAGCUUGGGAAGAAUGAAGUAUGAAUUCAGAAUCCAUGUUUCCUUAAGACAGCUCAGAACUGCUUGACUUUCAAACUGUUAUCUGAGUGGAACAUUUUUUUGCUCAAUGUGAUCUCAAACACAGACCAACACUACAUAUUCACUCAGCUCUGUAGAUCAGCUUUUCUUUAGCAUUGGACCAGACCACUGUAUCUGCUGAAACACUUGUCAUAACCAGACUGCAAAAUGUUAUCUUUC
This 838-nucleotide long non-coding RNA is filed under the name Mustela putorius furo (domestic ferret). RNAcentral's name for it is "lncRNA (ENSMPUG00000029581.1)". The record is from RNAcentral. Lineage: Eukaryota; Metazoa; Chordata; Mammalia; Carnivora; Mustelidae.